UUGCCCAAAACAAACUCAUCUCACAACAAGUGGAACUCUUAACGCAGCAAAUAAAAGAGUUGAGGGAACCUUCUAAAGCUAAACAAAUAGCUUGUUGUGAACUUUGCAAAGGUGAGCAUGACACCGGAUUCUGUCCACCUCCGGGGUUCGAAGAUGUAAACUACAUGGCAAACCAAAAGGACUACCAACCGAGACAACAACAACAACAAC
Molecule: long non-coding RNA, 210 nt
Filed under: Lathyrus oleraceus (garden pea)
Lineage: Eukaryota; Viridiplantae; Streptophyta; Magnoliopsida; Fabales; Fabaceae
Description: Pisum sativum (pea) long non-coding RNA (PSAT_LNC003833)
Source: RNAcentral